AUUGAACGCUGGCGGCAUGCCUAACACAUGCAAGUCGAACGGAGUGGCGGACGGGUGAGUGAUGUCUAGGAAUGUGCCAGGUAGUGGGGGAUAACGUCAACAAAUGGUAGCUAAUACCGCAUCCUCUUAGAUGCGCCUAUGUCGGAUUAGCUAGUUGGUGGGGUAAAGGCGCACCAAGGCGACGAUCCGUAGCUGGUCUGAGAGGAAGACCAGCCACACUGGAACUGAGACACGGUCCAGACUCCUACGGGAGGCAGCAGGGGGGAAUAUUGGACAAUGGGCGAAAGCCGGAUCCAGCCAUGCCGCGUGUGUGAAGAAGGUCUUCGGGUUGUAAAGCACGUUAAGCUGGGAGGCGUUACCAGCAGAAUAAGCACCGGCUAACUUCGUGCCAGCAGCCGCGGUAAUAC
Molecule: ribosomal RNA, 407 nt
Filed under: uncultured bacterium
Lineage: Bacteria
Description: partial 16S ribosomal RNA
Rfam family: Bacterial small subunit ribosomal RNA
Source: RNAcentral